Molecule: ribosomal RNA, 32 nt
Filed under: Smenospongia aurea
Lineage: Eukaryota; Metazoa; Porifera; Demospongiae; Dictyoceratida; Thorectidae
Description: partial 5.8S ribosomal RNA
Source: RNAcentral
UCUCCUCGGGAGCAGGUCUGUCCGAGCGUCUG